AGUGAACGCUGGCGGUAGGCCUAACACAUGCAAGUCGAACGGCAGCACAGUAAGAGCUUGCUCUUACGGGUGGCGAGUGGCGGACGGGUGAGGAAUACAUCGGAAUCUACUUUUUCGUGGGGGAUAACGUAGGGAAACUUACGCUAAUACCGCAUACGACCUACGGGUGAAAGCAGGGGAUCUUCGGACCUUGCGCGAUUGAAUGAGCCGAUGUCGGAUUAGCUAGUUGGCGGGGUAAAGGCCCACCAAGGCGACGAUCCGUAGCUGGUCUGAGAGGAUGAUCAGCCACACUGGAACUGAGACACGGUCCAGACUCCUACGGGAGGCAGCUGUGGGGAAUAUUGGACAAUGGGCGCAAGCCUGAUCCAGCCAUACCGCGUGGGUGAAGAAGGCCUUCGGGUUGUAAAGCCCUUUUGUUGGGAAAGAAAAGCAGCAGGUUAAUACCCCGCUGUUCUGACGGUACCCAAAGAGUAAGCACCGGCUAACUUCGUG
Molecule: ribosomal RNA, 492 nt
Filed under: uncultured bacterium
Lineage: Bacteria
Description: partial 16S ribosomal RNA
Rfam family: Bacterial small subunit ribosomal RNA
Source: RNAcentral